AGAGUUUGAUCAUGGCUCAGGAUGAACGCUAGCGGCAGGCCUAAUACAUGCAAGUCGAACGGUAAGAUCUCGCUUGCGAGAUACACGAGUGGCGAACGGGUGCGUAACGCGUAUGCAACCUACCUUCAUCUGGAGGAUAGCCCCGAGAAAUCGGGAUUAAUACUUCAUAAUAUCCAAUUCUCACAUGUUUAUUGGAUUAAAGCUCCGGCGGUUGAAGAUGGGCAUGCGUGACAUUAGUUAGUUGGUGAGGUAACGGCUCACCAAGACCACGAUGUCUAGGGGUUCUGAGAGGAUUAUCCCCCACACUGGUACUGAGACACGGACCAGACUCCUACGGGAGGCAGCAGUAAGGAAUAUUGGUCAAUGGACGAAAGUCUGAACCAGCCAUGCCGCGUGCAGGAUGACAGCCCUAUGGGUUGUAAACUGCUUUUAUACGGGAAGAAUCCCCUGUACGUGUACAGGGUUGACGGUACCGUAUGAAUAAGCAUCGGCUAACUCCGUGCCAGCAGCCGCGGUAAUACGGAGGAUGCAAGCGUUAUCCGGAUUCAUUGGGUUUAAAGGGUGCGUAGGCGGAAUGAUAAGUUAGUGGUGAAAGCCCCCGGCUUAACCGGGGAACUGCCAUUAAUACUGUCAUUCUUGAGUAUAGUUGAAGUGGGCGGAAUGUAUCAUGUAGCGGUGAAAUGCUUAGAUAUGAUACAGAACACGGAUGGCGUAGGCAGCUUGCUAAACUAUAACUGACGCUCAGGCACGAAAGCGUGGG
Molecule: ribosomal RNA, 760 nt
Filed under: uncultured bacterium
Lineage: Bacteria
Description: bacterial SSU rRNA
Rfam family: Bacterial small subunit ribosomal RNA
Source: RNAcentral